Molecule: ribosomal RNA, 1380 nt
Filed under: Vibrio vulnificus
Lineage: Bacteria; Pseudomonadati; Pseudomonadota; Gammaproteobacteria; Vibrionales; Vibrionaceae
Description: partial 23S ribosomal RNA
Rfam family: Bacterial large subunit ribosomal RNA
Source: RNAcentral
CGUCGAGCUACUACGGUAGUGAAGUCAUUGAUGCCAUGCUUCCAGGAAAAGCCUCUAAGCUUCAGAUUGUAAGGAAUCGUACCCCAAACCGACACAGGUGGUCGGGUAGAGAAUACCAAGGCGCUUGAGAGAACUCGGGUGAAGGAACUAGGCAAAAUGGUACCGUAACUUCGGGAGAAGGUACGCUCUUGAUGGUGAAGUCCCUUGCGGAUGGAGCUGACGAGAGUCGCAGAUACCAGGUGGCUGCAACUGUUUAUUAAAAACACAGCACUGUGCAAAAUCGUAAGAUGACGUAUACGGUGUGACGCCUGCCCGGUGCCGGAAGGUUAAUUGAUGGGGUUAGCGUAAGCGAAGCUCUUGAUCGAAGCCCCGGUAAACGGCGGCCGUAACUAUAACGGUCCUAAGGUAGCGAAAUUCCUUGUCGGGUAAGUUCCGACCUGCACGAAUGGCGUAAUGAUGGCCACGCUGUCUCCACCCGAGACUCAGUGAAAUUGAAAUCGCUGUGAAGAUGCAGUGUACCCGCGGCUAGACGGAAAGACCCCGUGAACCUUUACUACAGCUUGGCACUGAACAUUGAACCUACAUGUGUAGGAUAGGUGGGAGGCUUUGAAGACGUGACGCCAGUUGCGUUGGAGCCGUCCUUGAAAUACCACCCUUGUAUGUUUGAUGUUCUAACGUUGGCCCCUAAUCGGGGUUGCGGACAGUGCCUGGUGGGUAGUUUGACUGGGGCGGUCUCCUCCCAAAGAGUAACGGAGGAGCACGAAGGUGGGCUAAUCACGGUUGGACAUCGUGAGGUUAGUGCAAUGGCAUAAGCCCGCUUAACUGCGAGAAUGACGGUUCGAGCAGGUGCGAAAGCAGGUCAUAGUGAUCCGGUGGUUCUGAAUGGAAGGGCCAUCGCUCAACGGAUAAAAGGUACUCCGGGGAUAACAGGCUGAUACCGCCCAAGAGUUCAUAUCGACGGCGGUGUUUGGCACCUCGAUGUCGGCUCAUCACAUCCUGGGGCUGAAGUCGGUCCCAAGGGUAUGGCUGUUCGCCAUUUAAAGUGGUACGCGAGCUGGGUUUAGAACGUCGUGAGACAGUUCGGUCCCUAUCUGCCGUGGGCGUUGGAAGAUUGAAGGGGGCUGCUCCUAGUACGAGAGGACCGGAGUGGACGAACCUCUGGUGUUCGGGUUGUGUCGCCAGACGCAUUGCCCGGUAGCUAAGUUCGGAAUCGAUAACCGCUGAAAGCAUCUAAGCGGGAAGCGAGCCCUGAGAUGAGUCUUCCCUGAUACUUUAAGUAUCCUAAAGGGUUGUUCGAGACUAGAACGUUGAUAGGCAGGGUGUGUAAGCGCUGUGAGGCGUUGAGCUAACCUGUACUAAUUGCCCGUGAGGCUUAACCAU